UAAUACGGAGGGUGCGAGCGUUGUCCGGAAUUAUUGGGUUUAAAGGGUACGUAGGCGGUUAGAUAAGUCAAAGUUGAAAUGGUGCAGCUCAACUGUAGCACUGGCUUUGAUACUGUUUAACUUGAGUAUGGUAGAGGUAGGCGGAAUUUAUGAUGUAGCGGUGAAAUGCAUAGAUAUCAUAAAGAACUCCAAUUGCGAAGGCAGCUUACUGGACCAUAACUGACGCUGAUGUACGAAAGCGUGGGUAGCGAACAGGAUUAGAUACCCUGGUAGUCCACGCCGUAAACGAUGAUUACUCGAUGUGUGCGAUAGACAGUGCGCAUCCAAGCGAAAGCGUUAAGUAAUCCACCUGGGGAGUACGAUCGCAAGAUUG
RNAcentral lists this ribosomal RNA (373 nucleotides) under uncultured Bacteroidota bacterium. RNAcentral describes it as "bacterial SSU rRNA". It matches the Rfam family "Bacterial small subunit ribosomal RNA", at positions 521 to 896 of the family's 1533-position model. The record is from RNAcentral. Lineage: Bacteria; Pseudomonadati; Bacteroidota.